This 253-nucleotide ribosomal RNA is filed under the name uncultured bacterium. RNAcentral describes it as "partial 16S ribosomal RNA". It matches the Rfam family "Bacterial small subunit ribosomal RNA", at positions 524 to 776 of the family's 1533-position model. The record is from RNAcentral.
UACGAAGGGGGCUAGCGUUGUUCGGAAUUACUGGGCGUAAAGCGCACGUAGGCGGACUAUUAAGUCAGGGGUGAAAUCCCGAGGCUCAACCUCGGAACUGCCUUUGAUACUGAGCGCCUCGAGGUCGGGAGAGGUGAGUGGAAUUCCGAGUGUAGAGGUGAAAUUCGUAGAUAUUAGGAAGAACACCAGUGGCGAAGGCGGCUCACUGGCUCGAUUCUGACGCUGAGGUGCGAAAGCGUGGGGAGCAAACAGG